RNAcentral lists this long non-coding RNA (312 nucleotides) under Hordeum vulgare. Its description in RNAcentral is "long non-coding RNA (HVUL_LNC004021)". Lineage: Eukaryota; Viridiplantae; Streptophyta; Magnoliopsida; Poales; Poaceae. The record is from RNAcentral.
GUGAAUAACCGUAGAAUGUAUGCUAUUAUCGGUAUGUGAUUUUGCCGCUUCUGUGUUUGGGCCCUUGGUGUUACCUUAUUUUCCCUCUAAUGGAAAUUGUUCACCAACAUUGGACUCAAAGAAUCCGUGAAGAGACAGUUCGUCGGAAGCUUAGUUCAGCGAUAUGGAAUUUUCAACAGAAUGCAUUAUAUCAGGAAUAUCGCACCCAAAUAUAAAUGGUAUCCUGACCAAAUAAAUUAUCAGCAUCAAGUAUACAUCCGUGCGACUUUUCAGCAGCAAUCAUGGAAUCAACAAGAAGGAAGAGAUGCGUAC